CGUGCGCCGUCGCCGAAUCCCGUACGCACAGCAGCACCAGCAGCAGAGCGACAACAGCAGCACCAAGGGAACCGGGGAACCACCAACCUUGGGGUGAAUCGGGUCGAACCUGACCCGUAGGAGACCUUCCUGCUCCGAACCCGUCAGCUAACCCGGUAGGCGAGAGGGAAGGAAAGG
This 177-nucleotide small RNA is filed under the name Streptomyces bingchenggensis. Its description in RNAcentral is "c-di-AMP sequence". It matches the Rfam family "c-di-AMP riboswitch aptamer (ydaO/yuaA leader)". Rfam says of the family: This family represents a conserved RNA structure found upstream of the ydaO and yuaA genes in Bacillus subtilis and related genes in other bacteria. The ydaO/yuaA element is thought to act as a genetic "off" switch for the ydaO and yuaA genes in its native state. The record is from RNAcentral. Lineage: Bacteria; Bacillati; Actinomycetota; Actinomycetes; Kitasatosporales; Streptomycetaceae.